UACAGAGGUCUCAAGCGUUGUUCGGAUUCAUUGGGCGUAAAGGGUGCGUAGGCGGCGCGGUAAGUCGGGUGUGAAAUCUCGGAGCUUAACUCGAAACUGCAUUCGAUACUGCCGUGCUUGAGGACUGGAGAGGAGACUGGAAUUUACGGUGUAGCGGUGAAAUGCGUAGAUAUCGUAAGGAAGACCAGUGGCGAAGGCGGGUCUCUGGACAGUUCCUGACGCUGAGGCACGAAGGUCAGGGGAGCAAACGGG
Molecule: ribosomal RNA, 252 nt
Filed under: uncultured bacterium
Lineage: Bacteria
Description: partial 16S ribosomal RNA
Rfam family: Bacterial small subunit ribosomal RNA
Source: RNAcentral